This 252-nucleotide ribosomal RNA is filed under the name uncultured bacterium. Its description in RNAcentral is "partial 16S ribosomal RNA". It matches the Rfam family "Bacterial small subunit ribosomal RNA", at positions 524 to 776 of the family's 1533-position model. The record is from RNAcentral.
UACGUAGGGUGCAAGCGUUGUCCGGAAUUAUUGGGCGUAAAGAGCUCGUAGGCGGUCUGUCGCGUCGGCUGUGAAAACUCGGGCUCAACUCCGAGCUUGCAGUCGAUACGGGCAGGCUAGAGUUCGGCAGGGGAGACUGGAAUUCCUGGUGUAGCGGUGAAAUGCGCAGAUAUCAGGAGGAACACCGGUGGCGAAGGCGGGUCUCUGGGCCGAUACUGACGCUGAGGAGCGAAAGCGUGGGGAGCGAACAGG